AGCAGCCGCGGUAAUUCCAGCUCCAAUAGCGUAUAUUAAAGUUGUUGCAGUUAAAAAGCUCGUAGUUGAAUUUCGGGGUUAGCAGGUCGGUCGUGCCAUCGGUAUGAACUGGUCUCGCUGAUCCCUCCCUCUUGACGAACUGUGAUGCCAUUAAUUUGGUGUCGCAGGGAAUCAGGACUGUUACUUUGAAAAAUUAGAGUGUUUAAAGCAGGCUCACGCUUGAAUACAUUAGCAUGGAAUAAUGAAAUAGGACGUUUGAUCCUAUUUUGUUGGCUUCUAGGAUUGACGUAAUGAUUAAUAGGGAUAGUUGGGGGCAUUAGUAUUCAAUUGUCAGAGGUGAAAUUCUUGGAUUUAUUGAAGACUAACUACUGCGAAAGCAUUUGCCAAGGAUGUUUUCAUUAAUCAAGAACGAAAGUUAGGGGAUCGAAGACGAUCAGAUACCGUCGUAGUCUUAACCAUAAACUAUGCCGACUAGGGAUCGGAUGAUGUUAAUUUUUAAUGACU
This 504-nucleotide unclassified non-coding RNA is filed under the name uncultured Glomus. RNAcentral's name for it is "SSU rRNA". It matches the Rfam family "Eukaryotic small subunit ribosomal RNA", at positions 569 to 1076 of the family's 1831-position model. Lineage: Eukaryota; Fungi; Glomeromycota; Glomeromycetes; Glomerales; Glomeraceae. The record is from RNAcentral.